GACUCCGCCCCUCCCCCCUCCUCCUCCACCACGCCCACCAAGCCCCUCCCCCCGAGCUCCGCCCUCUUCCCCCAUUGGCCGCCCCCUCCCCCCAAACCCUCGGUGGGCGUGGCCGUGGGCGGAGACCUGGACGUGCGCCCGCCCCUCCGGCGCGCGCCCAGCCCCGCCCCUCCGCCCUCGGAGCGCCGCGGAAGCCCCGCCCCCCGCCCCGCCUCCCUGCCCACCUUACCUGCGGCUCACCUGUACGGCGGAGGAGGAGGAGGAGUAGGAGGAAGCUCCGCCUCUUCUUACCUGGAGCUGCGCUCGCUGUCCCCGCCCCGCGCCGCCACCGCCGCGUCAAUCACGGGCGGCCCCGCCCCCGCCAAGCCUUUUGGGGCGAAACCUUUGGCUUUUUGGAGCAAGUUCGACGUGGCGGACUGGCUGGAGUCGCUGAACCUGGGCGAGCACCGGGCGCGCUUCCUGCACAACGAGAUCGACGGCACGCACCUGCCCGCGCUCACCAAGGAGGAUUACAUCGACCUGGGCGUCACCCGCGUCGGGCACCGCAUGAACAUCGACCGCGCCCUGCGCCUCUUCCUCGAGAGGGAUCCGAGUGUGCCACGGGAUCUGGACUUGAGACUGUGAAAGGAUCUGAGUGUGCAACGGGAUCCGAGUGUGCAACGGGAUCUGGACAUGGGAAUGUGAUGGGAUCCAAGUGUGCAACGGGAUCCGAGUGUGCAACGGGAUCUGGACAAGGGAAUGUAACAGGAUCUGAGUGUGCAAUGGGAUCUGAGUGUGCAAUGGUAUCCGAAUGUGUAACAAGAUCCCAGUGUGCAACGGGAUCCGAGUGUGCAACAGGAUCUGGACUUAAGACUGUGAAAGGAUCCGAGUGUGCAACGAGAUCUGGGUGUUCAAAGGGAUCUGAGUGUGCAACAGGAUCUGGACACGGGAAUGUAACAGGAUGUGAGUGUGCAAUGGGAUCUGAAUGUGUAACAAGAUCCCAGUGUGCAACGGGAUCCAAGUGUGCAAAGGGAUCCGAGUGUGCAACGGGACCUGGAUGUGGGAAUGUAACGGGAUCCAGGUGUGCAACAGGAUCCGAGUGUGCAACAGGAUCUGAACUUAAGACUGUGAAAGGAUCCGAGUGUGCAACGAGAUCUGGGUGUGCAACGGGAUCCCACUGUGCAACAGGAUCUGUGUGCAAAAGGACCCGGAUAUGGGAGUGUGAGAGGAUCUGAGUGUGCAACAGGAUCCAAGUGUGCAACAGGACCCGAGUGCACCCUGGCACCCGAUUGUGCAAGGGAACCUGGGCGUGCAAGGGGAUUUGGGGGCGCGCGGGUGUGCGGCGGGUGUGCGCUGAGUGUGCAACGGGACGUGGACAGCGGGCGCCGGGACGUGGACGUGGGCAUCCGGUGGGACGUGAGCGUGCAACGGGAGCUGAGUGUGCAACAGGAGAUGGACCUGGGCGCCCGGCGGGAUCUGAGCGUGCAACAGCAGCAGCGCAAGCUGAGCGUGCAACAGCUGGAGGCGCAGCGGCGGCUGAGCGUGCAACAGGAGCUGGGCGUGCAACGGGAGGUGGAGAUCCAGAGGAAGCUGAGCGUGCAACAGGAGCUGGGCGUGCAACGGCAGCUGGAGCUGGGCGUGCAAUGGGAGCCGGGUGUGCAACGGGAGCUGGGUGUGCAACGGGACGUGGAGAUGGGCGUGCAACCAGAGCUGGGCGUGCAAGGAGCGCCCGGCACGCUGUGGGACGUGGAGAUGGGCGUGCAACCGGAGAUGGGCGUGCAAGGACACGUGGGCGUGCAACAGGAGCUGCCGGACGUGGACAUGAGCGUGCAAUGGGAGCCGGGCGUGCAAGGGGAGCUCCUGGGCGUGCAACAGGCGGCGGAGGCGGGCGUGCAACAGGACGUGAUUGUGCAAGAGGCGAUGAUUGUGCAAGAGGCGAUGAUUGUGCAACGAGACGCGAACGUGGCGCCGGACCCGGGCGUGCAAGAGGCGCCGAGUGUGCAACGGGAGGAGCCCCUGGGCGUGCAAGGGGACGUGG
RNAcentral lists this long non-coding RNA (2017 nucleotides) under Junco hyemalis (dark-eyed junco). RNAcentral describes it as "lncRNA (ENSJHYG00000008306.1)". Lineage: Eukaryota; Metazoa; Chordata; Aves; Passeriformes; Passerellidae. The record is from RNAcentral.